UAUCCGGAUUUAUUGGGCGUAAAGGGCUCGUAGGCGGCUCGUCGCGUCCGGUGUGAAAGUCCAUCGCUUAACGGUGGAUCUGCGCCGGGUACGGGCGGGCUGGAGUGCGGUAGGGGAGACUGGAAUUCCCGGUGUAACGGUGGAAUGUGUAGAUAUCGGGAAGAACACCGAUGGCGAAGGCAGGUCUCUGGGCCGUCACUGACGCUGAGGAGCGAAAGCGUGGGGAGCGAACAGGAUUAGAUACCCUGGUAGUCCACGCCGUAAACGGUGGACGCUGGAUGUGGGGCACGUUCCACGUGUUCCGUGUCGGAGCUAACGCGUUAAGCGUCCCGCCUGGGGAGUACGGCCGCAAGGCUAAAACUCAAAGAAAUUGACGGGGGCCCGCACAAGCGGCGGAGCAUGCGGAUUAAUUCGAUGCAACGCGAAGAACCUUACCUGGGCUUGACAUGUUCCCGACGACGCCAGAGAUGGCGUU
Molecule: ribosomal RNA, 475 nt
Filed under: uncultured bacterium
Lineage: Bacteria
Description: bacterial SSU rRNA
Rfam family: Bacterial small subunit ribosomal RNA
Source: RNAcentral